Molecule: non-coding RNA, 545 nt
Organism: Musa acuminata subsp. malaccensis (wild Malaysian banana)
Lineage: Eukaryota; Viridiplantae; Streptophyta; Magnoliopsida; Zingiberales; Musaceae
Source: RefSeq, a predicted model, not a curated record
GGGAAAAUAAGGAAAGAUUACCCAUCUGUUCAACUGACUUCAUGGAGGUUUUGGCCUAUAGUUGGUUGGAUAAACUACCAAUAUAUGCCUCUGCAGCUGCGUGUUCUAUUCCACAGCUUUAUUGCCUCAUGCUGGGCUGUGUUUCUGAAUCUAAAAGCACAAUCCGGUGCUGCUAAGGAGGCUUAAUAUGAAGAUUAGUAUUUUGCUUUAUACUGCAAAGGAGCUGUUAGGGUUCCUUUGUGCACCGUGUUAUAGUGUUAUGUCAGCUAUGACAAAUAAUGUGUUCGUUUGAUAUCCCAGUCUUGCAUUUGCAACCAGUGUCGCCUCGUGCUAUGCGAAGCUUAAAUAGAUUACACUGAGGUCCUUUUUCUUUAAACAAAUGAAAAACAAUAAAGAGGAUGAUCCAAGUUUACAGCAAGAUAUUCUACUUCAGUGUGUACAUGAGGUGUUUUAGAGUUUGAGAUAUGUAUACACUACUCCUUGUAAUCUAAGCAUUGAGAAGUUCAAAAACAAAAAAAGAACAAGGGGUUGUUCUUUUGGAUGAA